Molecule: long non-coding RNA, 709 nt
Organism: Ctenopharyngodon idella (grass carp)
Lineage: Eukaryota; Metazoa; Chordata; Actinopteri; Cypriniformes; Xenocyprididae
Exons: 3
Source: RefSeq, a predicted model, not a curated record
UAUAGGAAGUGUUCCCGGUUCCGGCUGACCUAAUUUAUGCAGCCUAAUAAUCCUUUAACGGAUUUGAAAAUAUAAAUUGGUAAUGUGUUAUGUGUAUGCCAGGUUAAAGAAAUGCGUUUUUAGUCUAGAUUUAAACUGACAGAGUGUGUCUGCUUCCCGAACAAUGCUAGGAAGAUUGUUCCAGAGUUUAGGUGCCAAAUAGGAGAAGGAUCUACCUGCGGUUGAUUUUGAUAUUCUAGGUAUUAUCAGCUGGCCUGAAUUCUGAGAUCGCAAUAGACGUGAAGGACUAUAAUGAAUUAGGAGCUCGCUCAGGUACUGGGGAGCUAAACCAUUUAGUGCUUUGUAAGUAAUUAGCAAGAUUUUAAAAUCUAUACGAUGUUUAACAGGAAGCCAAUGCAGUGUUGACAGAACUGGGCUAAUAUGGUCAUACUUCCUAGUUCUAGUAAGAACUCUAGCUGCUGCAUUUUGUACGAGCUGUAGUUUAUUUAUCAGGCGAGCAGAACAACCACCCAGUAGAGCGUUACAGUAAUCUAGCCUUGAGUUCAUGCGUUCAUGACCUCAAGGCUAGAUUACUGUAACGCUCUACUGGGUGGUUGUUCUGCUCGCCUGAUAAAUAAACUACAGCUCGUACAAAAUGCAGCAGCUAGAGUUCUUACUAGAACUAGGAAGUAUGACCAUAUUAGCCCAGUUCUGUCAACACUGCAUUGGC